UCUGGUUGAUCCUGCCAGUAGUCAUACGCUUGUCUCAAAGAUUAAGCCAUGCAUGUCUAAGUAUAAAUCUUUAUACGGUGAAACUGCGAAUGGCUCAUUAUAUCAGUUAUAGUUUAUUUGAUAGUCCCCUACUACUUGGAUAACCGUAGUAAUUCUAGAGCUAAUACAUGCGUCAAGGCCCAACUGCUUCGGCGGGCGGGCUGUAUUUAUUAGAGUUGAACCAGCCGCCUUCGGGUGUUUUUUGGUGAAUCAUGAUAACUUUGCGAAUCGUAUGCUUCGGCGACGAUGAAUCAUUCAAGUUUCUGCCCUAUCAAGUGGCGAUGGUAGGGUAUUGGCCUACCAUGCUAGUGACGGGUGACGGAGAAUUAGGGUUCGAUUCCGGAGAGGGAGCCUGAGAGACGGCUACCACAUCUAAGGAAGGCAGCAGGCGCGUAAAUUACCCAAUCCUGACACGGGGAGGUAGUGACAAUAAAUAACAAUACGGGGCUUUUCAAGUCUUGUAAUUGGAAUGAGAACAAUUUAAAUCCCUUAUCGAGGAUCAAUU
RNAcentral lists this ribosomal RNA (544 nucleotides) under eukaryotic picoplankton environmental sample. RNAcentral's name for it is "SSU rRNA". It matches the Rfam family "Eukaryotic small subunit ribosomal RNA", at positions 1 to 549 of the family's 1831-position model. The record is from RNAcentral.